CUGGGUUUCUGACACGCUGACCCCUACAGUGCCUGAGACAGUCCGGUCUCUGGUUUUGGGGUGACUGUCUGGCUGUGGAUUUCCUCUGUCAUGCCGACUGUGUUCUGCCCCUGGUUUUUAUGACUGCUUCUGGGUUGCGGCCUUGGUUCAACUCUGAACUGUUCCUGUGUAUGUUUGUGGAUUGUUCCAGCCGCCCCUGGCCGAGGUGAAGAUGAGCUAUGGUUUUCCCCUACAGGAGCAUUUUUGUUUUGAGAUCAUUCCCUGUUUUUUGGUCUGCAUACGCUUAGUUUUUUGUUGAGGGGUUUAUUUUGUCCAACCCUUCUGUGUGUGUUCUCGCCUACCUGGACGCCGUCCUCACUCCGCCGCCGCUGGUCCUCUGCACCAAAAGGCUCUGAUAUCCACCAAGGUGGAAAACCAGGCAGUGGGAGGAAAACACAACAUAACUAACUUCUCCACAUGUCUGAGGCAGCAGCAGGUUGAAGGAUGGGGCUGGCGUGCAGAUGCUGCAGGGAGCAGAACGCCAUCAGUCUCAGUCUGCUGCUGCCUGCAGCAGGAAGCAGCUCUGCCCAGACUCCAUUUCUCGUCUCACACAGAUGUGAGGAGGGGGGACUCAUUUAUCCUCAGCCGGACAGCUCACGAUCAGAGUUACAGUCAGCUGUCAACAUUUAAAAUGAUGUUUCCCUGCACUGCUCCGACAUGUUGCUACUUUUCACAAUGUACAUAUUUAUUUCUUGCACAUCAGGCAGAAAGUCGCGUCUGGUGUAGUGAAGAGGUGUCGCAACCUGGCUCCAACUCCCAGUGUGAACUUGGACCGUACACUGAGAACAGAUGUCCCGUUUCACUUGGUUGAUGAUCUGGUGUUUCCUGCAGAAGGAGGAAUGUGUGACACUAAGUGGCUGCUGAAUAAUGGACAAACACCUUUUUAUUAUCGAAGCAGAACGAGGAGGUUUAUGUGAGAAACAGCCAACGCUGAUUCUUUACAAUCACAUUAAAGGACAGGGUCCAUUUCCUUCUUGUCUCUAUUAACACAGUCCAUGUGUAGACUGAAAGGUCGGACUAUUCUGAGUCAGGUGGAUUUCUCUCUCUGUCUCUGCUUCUACUCCUUCAGUCCGUCACAGUGCUGCUGCACCUGCAGUGUCUCCAUCCUCAUGCUUAUCAUGACUCUGACUCUCAGCUGUUUGCCUGUCCUCCUCAGACCGGCCGGCAUUUGAUGCCUCACAGAUUAGACUGCUGGUAUUUGGAGAGGAGAUGUGUGGCCGCUGUCUGGUGGAGAUAGGCAGGUUUUGUCUGCACUGUUAGAUAAUGCUGCUCGGAGCCCGGUGCAGUUUCAGUGAAAUGAAGAGUAGAGUCUGCUUCUAAUCUAGAUGUUUGGAGAAACCCUCUGAGGGAAGGGAGGUGGAUUCCUCCCCUUUCAGUCCACUCAGAGCUUUGUAACUGGGCUGAGGUGCAUCUGAGGAACUGCUGCAAAUGGACAUUAACAAAGUUUGUUCAAGGGACAGUGCCCUCUAGCUGCUGCAGAAUCAGGAAAUAGGUAGGUGGAUUCUUAGUGUCACAGAUGGAUGUGUGAGCAGCUCAACAGGCCCAGACCAGAAAUGACUGUGAACCUUUCUGUUGAAACAUGGCAGCAUUACCAGAAAGAGACACAAAAUGACCACAAACCAGAAAUUGCUUGUUAAGAGUUUGUGUGGACGAAACCCAGAGGAGCCAGAAGACAAAUAUGCUCAGUGUCGGUCACGGAGACAAACACUUUCUGGAACAUUCAGGCAGAAAACCACAGCAACACAAACACUAAGCUGAUGUGACGAGAGUUUAAAUCGUCUUUAUUAUGAUGCCAUCUUCACUGUGCUUUUCAGUAAUUGAACUCAUUUUAACCCUCAACAGGACAAAGACAACAGGGAAGGAGAAACCAGAGGAGCAGAAGCUGCCCGAGGGUCCUGUUGUCAAGUUCUCAGCAGCUGCUCACUGCUCAGUCUGCUACUACAUGUACACAGGCUGCUGCUGUGGAGGCAGAGGGCUCAGAGCAGAGGCAGCUUCAGGAGCAGACGGAUGAAGGAACUGAUGAGGAGGAUAAAACCACAGGACUAAGCUGACACGCAGACAUCACCCUGGUGUGUGUCCGCGCUGUCAGCUGUGAUCAGACCUCGUCAGUGCUGUGAGUGAUGAGCCCAGACUGGACCUGGCUGAGUGACGUGGCCGCCGCCCCAGGACCCAGCCUACGCCUCCUACCUCUUCGAUCAGCUCAGCCUUCCUGUGGC
Molecule: long non-coding RNA, 2255 nt
Organism: Monopterus albus (swamp eel)
Lineage: Eukaryota; Metazoa; Chordata; Actinopteri; Synbranchiformes; Synbranchidae
Exons: 5
Source: RefSeq, a predicted model, not a curated record